Molecule: unclassified non-coding RNA, 145 nt
Filed under: uncultured Ascomycota
Lineage: Eukaryota; Fungi; Ascomycota
Description: sequence contains ITS1
Source: RNAcentral
CUGAGUGAGGGCCUUCGGGCUCGACCUCCAACCCUUUGUGAACACAACUUGUUGCUUCGGGGGCGACUCCGCCGUUUCGACGGCGGGCGCCCCCGGAGGCCUUCAAACCCUGCAUCUUUGCGUCGGAGUUUAAGUAAAUCAAACA